UGAAUGUAAUGCUCCUCGUGGGCGAAAAGAAAUACAACUUUCAACAACGGAUCUCUUGGCUCUCGCAUCGAUGAAGAACGCAGCGAAAUGCGAUAAGUAAUGUGAAUUGCAGAAUUCAGUGAAUCAUCGAAUCUUUGAACGCACCUUG
Molecule: ribosomal RNA, 148 nt
Filed under: Sanghuangporus baumii
Lineage: Eukaryota; Fungi; Basidiomycota; Agaricomycetes; Hymenochaetales; Hymenochaetaceae
Description: 5.8S ribosomal RNA
Rfam family: 5.8S ribosomal RNA (bases 36-148)
About the family: 5.8S ribosomal RNA (5.8S rRNA) is a component of the large subunit of the eukaryotic ribosome. It is transcribed by RNA polymerase I as part of the 45S precursor that also contains 18S and 28S rRNA.
Source: RNAcentral